GCCGCGCGCCCGUGGAGCAUUCCGCGCGUGCAUGCAUGUUAUGUGUUUUUCUAUUUUAAGAUGAGAAAAAGAAUGGCAAUGGGUUUCUGGUCAAGCUAGCUGCAAUGAUUUAUGUAGAUGAAUUCUUUUUAUAUAAACUGUAAUCGUUUGAUCAUGUUGUAUCAUUAUUAUAUUUAACUACAGAACAUCAACAGUGAAGCGAUAUGACACACCAUUCACAUAUGGAGUGUGUCCUUUAUAUGCAUAUAUGAAUGCUUGCACGGCUUCACAAUGAUCAGCGAAAGAGAGAACCACCUAUUCGCUCAUCUUUUGGAUGAUUGACUCAAUAUCUAUGUCAAUCUUUGAUUUACAGUGGUGACUGUUGCUUCAGUAGAGAGGUUUAACAAUGAAUUUAUAGUGCCACAUGGCGCAUAGUCUUGUGUAAGUUGCGCAUCACCCAUGAACGAAUCUUUGAAAAACUUGCUGAGGUUGUUUACUUGCGUAUGCUCAGGCUAAACAUGUAGAAAACUUAAGCAUUUAUGAAGAGAGUGGCUUCAUUUU
This 540-nucleotide long non-coding RNA is filed under the name Hordeum vulgare. Its description in RNAcentral is "long non-coding RNA (HVUL_LNC006464)". Lineage: Eukaryota; Viridiplantae; Streptophyta; Magnoliopsida; Poales; Poaceae. The record is from RNAcentral.